CUGUGGCUGCGUGCAAAGCGUCUCGACGCACACGCAUGCGCGUAUAACGUAAACAGGGAGUGGCCGAGCGUGGCAGAUUUUCCGCAAACUUUGGCAACGCGACGUGACAUUUGCAUGAUAUUGAAUUUCGCCAGUUGACCGUGCGUCAUUUACCAAAAGUUUAGGUUAAAGGUUAUUCGUGCUUUUUUUUUUUCUAAUAAAAUUAAUAAGUAGAUAGUAAAGUCUCGAAAUUAAUCUUUUCGUUUGUUUCUGGAUCGAAUAAUUUACGACGAGUUUUGAUGAAUCUCACAGUUUUUCGAGAAAACUUCCGAUAAAUUAAAAUGUUAAUUUCAAGUAUAUCGCAGUGGAUAGAAUAAUUUAAACGACAAUGAAAUAAUUGUUUCGUCGAAACGUUUUAAUUUUUAAACAAGCUCGAUCGAGCUUGAAUCUAAUCUGCUAAAUUAAUACUAUUUACAUCGCAUUUCAUCAACGUUGAAAACGUCGAUAUCAUAGCGAUACAGAGGCGUUGAAAUAUUUAUAAUUUGAUAUAUUAAAUUGAUGUCACGCAAAGAUAUAUUGGAACUGUUUCUGUAUAGCGAAAUCCUCAUUAUCCGAAUUAAUCGUGGUAUGCGAAGCUCGAUCGAACGUUUCGCAUAGUAAUGUUAAUGCAUACUUCAUAUAAUUACAUUCCAAUAUACGAGCUAUUGCAUCGCGGUAUAAAUUAUCUCAUAAAAUAAACGGGAAUGUGGGUGGCGAGUAAUAAUUAGAUCUAAUAAGAGGGCAAUAACGAAGAUGCAUAUCGCGAAAUUAAUGUAAUAUAGCGCGAUAAAUUCAAUUUUUUUUUUUAAACAAAAUUUUCUUCCACAAAGAUUUAUCGAUUCGCUUAAUUUAAAUAUAAUUUUUAUAGUAACUUUUAUUUUUCUUUUAUUUAUUUAUAAUUGGUAUUUAAUAUUUGAAAAUCUUCGAGUAAUUUAACUUUAAUUAUUAUAGAGAAACCACGCAAGUAAUCAAGGUUUAUUUAAUUCGAUCAUUAGCUUUAACAAUGCUUAUAUAUUAGUUUGCGUCAUUUGAGGAGAUCGAAAUCUAUUUUAUCAUCUACGUACAUGAUCCGUUUCUGAAAUGUAAAAUUUUCAACUGUGCACAGUGUGUGAUGUGUGAUGUGUACACAUAAUAUAUCAAUUACGCAAUUUAAAGUAUAAUUUACAAGUAAAGGUAAAUAAAUAUUUCUAAAAAAUAAUUUUCUAAAAAUGUGACCAUUCCGUUGAUUGAAAUUUGAAUAUUCGAAAUUCCACUUGCUAGUUGUAAAAAGUCAACGUGUUAGAAGAGAUAUCGAUCUUUUAUUAGAAAAUGAAUUUGUCAUUGUCGAAUGAAUUACAGUAGACGUGUAAAAAGAUUUUUGGUAAAGGAUAAAAGUGAAAAAAAAAUCAGGAUUACGAUUAAAACGGAUGAUGGCUCUAUUUCCCCCGAAACUUGUAUAUCAGCCAAUUAAAUUGUCGCUUUCUCGUCGAUCUUAUCGAUCGAUCCAUGCGGAAGAGAGGUACUCCCUAAUCUAUCGAAAUCGAGCAACGACACGAAGGAUUCCAACGAUGGUAAACCGAGGUAUUCAGGUCGCAGCAAGGCCGAACUGCGUGCACAGUCGCAAAGUAAAAGUGCACAGAAAUAAAAUGUAGGCUGUUACGUGGCUCGAGGCAUCUCACUCUAGGUCUGGACAUUUUGGAGACUUUGAAUAACCAUUCUCCAACAGCUGUAUCUAACGAUAUAUUUGCAUUUUAUUCCUUCGAUAUAUUUUAUCGUUAAAUAAUAAAAUAAUAAUGUAAUAAUCACAAAUAAAUAAUUCACACAUAUCUUUUAA
This is a long non-coding RNA of Apis cerana (Asiatic honeybee), 1831 nucleotides long. RefSeq lists it as uncharacterized. NCBI's taxonomy places the organism in Eukaryota, Metazoa, Arthropoda, Insecta, Hymenoptera, Apidae. The record is from RefSeq and is a predicted model, not a curated record.